RNAcentral lists this ribosomal RNA (400 nucleotides) under uncultured bacterium. Its description in RNAcentral is "bacterial SSU rRNA". It matches the Rfam family "Bacterial small subunit ribosomal RNA", at positions 355 to 746 of the family's 1533-position model. The record is from RNAcentral.
UGGGGAAUUUUGCACAAUGGGCGAAAGCCUGAUGCAGCAACGCCGCGUGAGUGAAGAAGGCCCUUGGGUCGUAAAGCUCUUUCGGCUGGGGAGAAGGCUAUUAAGGUGAACAAUCUUAGUAGCUGACGGUACCAGAAUAAGAAGCACCGGCUAACUCCGUGCCAGCAGCCGCGGUAAUACGGAGGGUGCGAGCGUUGUUCGGAAUUACUGGGCGUAAAGCGCACGUAGGCGGGUUUUUAAGUCGAUUGUGAAAGCCCAGGGCUCAACCUUGGAAUUGCAGUCGAAACUGGAAGUCUUGAAUACCUGAGGGGAUAGUGGAAUUCCCGGUGUAGAAGUGAAAUUCGUAGAUAUCGGGAGGAACACCAGUGGCGAAGGCGGCUAUCUGGCAGUGUAUUGACGC